CAAAGUUGAAAUGACUUUCAUUAAUAAUAAUGAAAAUUGGAAUAGGAAUAGCAUACAGUAUUAGUAAAAUACUAAGAGCACCAUCAACGCAGGGAGCUUAAGAGUGGCUUAAUGUUUUUUAAGAUUAAAAAAAUAGAAAAUGAUGGAAUUAGAGUAAACACGACGCUUAAUUAAGCAGCGGAAGCUGCGUGGUUUGUGGACACGUGUUGGACGGUGGGCUCUCUGCGACUAUUUCUCUCUCUCACGAACCGUCGAACUCUUUGUGUUUUAUUCUCGACGACUUCGUCUCUACCUCCUCUUCUCUCUCGCGAAAUCGACGGCUCUGUGAUCUCCUCGACGCCUCCGUGAUCUCUCCUUGUAUUUACCGGAAGAUCUCCUCGUCUCUCUUGCUCAGCUCGACGCCUCCGUGAUCUCUCGAGCUCCUUGUGUUUCAAUUUUUACGUCUUUCCUUCCAAUGUCUCCAAGAAUACAUUAAUGGAGACUUUGUGAAGAACGCUUGAAAAAUGGGGGAAGAUGCAUUGGAGGACAAUUAUCAAGAGAUGGCUUAUUUCAAAUUUUUAUACACUUUUAUUAAUAUAAAAAUGAAUAAGCUCUCUACAGAGUGGUUAUGGUUAAGGAUGCUAUAAGAACGUCGAGCCCGAAAACCCAUUUUGUGGCUCCCAAAAACAAUGGGAAAAUAAACUAUUGCGAUUUGGCAUAUUAUUAGACCUCUGCACUGUUUACUAUAAAGUUUUUGCCUUUUUCUAUAACUGAAAAGAAGAUAUGUCAUGUAGUAAUAUGGGAGUAUUAUGUAAUAUAUGCACAUUUCUCAAUUUGUUACAGAUUCAG
Molecule: long non-coding RNA, 828 nt
Organism: Raphanus sativus (radish)
Lineage: Eukaryota; Viridiplantae; Streptophyta; Magnoliopsida; Brassicales; Brassicaceae
Exons: 2
Source: RefSeq, a predicted model, not a curated record